This is a long non-coding RNA of Lynx canadensis (Canada lynx), 132 nucleotides long. RefSeq lists it as uncharacterized. Lineage: Eukaryota; Metazoa; Chordata; Mammalia; Carnivora; Felidae. The record is from RefSeq and is a predicted model, not a curated record. The transcript has 3 exons.
GCUGGAGCCUGGGUCCUCUAUGCGGAGACUCUGGUGUGGGUCUUUACAAGAUGGUCAGUGAAUUUCUGAUAAGGAGACUUGGUGAAUACAGUCUCUUUCCAGAGGGGAGGGAGAUGGAGGAGCACACGUCUG